This 3700-nucleotide long non-coding RNA is filed under the name Daphnia pulex (common water flea). RNAcentral describes it as "uncharacterized LOC124207056". The record is from RNAcentral. Lineage: Eukaryota; Metazoa; Arthropoda; Branchiopoda; Diplostraca; Daphniidae.
ACCGAUACACGACAGUUCGUCUGCAUUGGGCAUUCUGUAAUCAGCAUGCACGCAAAUUUGUUAAGGCUCUAAUAAAGCCAUACGCCACAUGCAAUGUAGGACAAGUACUUGGUGAAGUGAACUCUAACUUUCAGCGAAAGCUUCACCUACCUGUGUGAACUGCCAGACACAUUGCCGAAAAUAAGAAGAAUUCCAAUCUCCAGUCUACUGGAAGAUUGGCAUGUAUUACAAUCUCAGAACGGUAACAAAAUAUUGAAGAAAAUCCAAUGGGAAGAAUGAAAACUUUGGUGUGAAAAAGUGCAGACUCGUUGAAAGCUCAAAAGCUGGUUCAUUGCACAGCGCAUCUUUGUCGAAAAAACUAACCUCUGACAAGAAAUUGGCCUAUCGUUAUGGAUAACGAUUUGAUUUAACAGUUACAUGUUAAAUGUGAUCCUAAAGUAGAGCCAGAAGAUACCGGUACGCCAACAUCCAACGGUGGGCGCUCAAAUUACCUUACGAUUCAUAGUUCCGAUGCAAUCGCUAUCAAGGAGAAAAGCAGUCGAAAUGUCCUUUACCAACUGAUGUCAUCUUCAAGUUGGUCACGAAAGUGAGGAACAAGACGUAUGUCAACCAGUACACGAACAAUCCUCUUGCGCUCAAUUGUGGUAAACGAACUUUCGGCGCAUUUGUGAUUCAACAGUGAGAUGGAUGCCCAUAAAUUCUUUUCGAUGCUCAAUAAUGAAAUGCUUACCGUCUUCUUUGACUAAUGAUCGGCUUGAGGUUUAAAUGAGAUGCAACUUACAACCACACCGACGUUGCAACCGGAGUUUUUGACAUCUGCUGUCAGAACGUUUCCAUGUAACUUUCACUCCACCAUCACUACGAAUUCCUUAUUUCUCUACUCAGACUCUGGAAUAUUUGGGUUACGACCGACGAAGAAACUGGCAUCCUGGAAGAAAUUGACGAUAGUGAAGGAACUAUUGUUGUGGAAUACCGAGCAGCCUCAUUGCCCCAUCAAUUCCAACAGCCUGCUCACAGUUUUGAAACAGAAUUUGGAAAGGCCGUUUGUCGAGAGCAAAAAACAAUGAGAAACAAGAAUUAUUGAAGCAGGCAGUCCCCACGAUACACAGUAUAGUUGACAAAACAACGUGAAGGUCAACACAAUUAAACAACAGAAAAUCCUUUCAUGAUCCCAUUUCAUCAGCUAAAAUUUCUGAAAUAAAGUUUAUUUUCAGGAAUGUGUUCGACAUCAUUGGGAUAAGUUAAAAUGUGUGUUAUAGGUUACUCACUCAAUUGGUGAAUGUCAAUUUUUUUUUUCAUUGAAUAGCCAAUGAAAGUAGUUUCUCGCCAACUAGACUAGCCAAAGUUGUUCUGAGUAGGUGUCUGAGCUGCAGUCCAAGUUCGGAAUCUAGGCCAGAAUCAAGGGAUUGUAGAUUAUAUGAUGUGGCCUAGGAUGGAGAAUUGCCUUCAUGGUCUAUUUUGAGCGUAUGAGAAGUUCCAACGGAAAAUUAUCCUUUUGGUAAAGUGGUUUGACGCCACGAAAGAAAACGAUAUGGUCAAAGAACGUUUCAUGAGUUUUCUUGCCGGGAAUACGGAAUAUGACAUGGAAAUAAAUCGAGAUCAUCAUGGAAGAGACUGUCAGCUUUUUCUCGGAGAUGCGAAGCCUUUUCUUCUAUCAAAAACCCAGAGUGCUCCAGUAAUUGGAUCCAAGUCUUUGGAGGUGGCUGUAAUGAAGGGCACUAGAUGGCACGAGUGUUUUCGUUAAAGACGAAAUUCCGCCAUUUUCUUUUCUGCAAAUUUCGAAAACGAUCGUUACUUAUUCCAUUCCUUUUUUUUUUCUUGAAAUUUUUCGUCUUAAAAAUGGUAAAAUCUACUUUCAAUUUCAUCACAAGGCCUCAGGUGAAACUGCUGUACAUUUUGGCAAAAUGUCGUUUCUUGCUGCAUGGCUGGAUUGGCUGGACGUUUCCUGAGUUCGUUACAUUCAGAAGCACUUUAGAACAGUUAUUUAGGAUUAGGAAAUCAUGUCCAUUGGGCCAAAUCUUCUGAUGUUGCAUGAUGGAUGUCCAUUUUGGCGAAAUAUCAUCUCUUGCUGUAUGUCUCUUCCCAUGCUGAAGCACUUCGCUUCACUUCAAAAUAGGAAAAUCUUGACAACUGAAGAAUCCAAAUAACAUUUUUCACAUAAUUGAAGUCCAGUAGAGCUGUUGCAUGCAGUUUGUUGUGCUGGUGUUUGUACAUCCUCAAGUUAUUGAAGUCUUCAGCAGAUUCAAUUCGUUGCUGCUGUCUAUCUUGUGGCCAACAACAAAAAAAAAGUGCAAUUCAAGAGCUGACCACCAUAUGAGAUUUAAUUAAGGACAAUUUAGGAUUGAUAGAUCAGAGGUUAAUCCCUCACCGUUGUUUUAUGGAGGGAGUCAGCGUUGGUGUGGCUCUGCAGUACUACGCCAAUCACAGAGGGCAAAUUGAAUUGUCCGUUACGACCGGACGAUGGAGCAGAUUGCCUUCCCCAAGUUCCGGAAAUGUGCGAGUAUUUGACCACGAAAGGAAAGUGCGCAUCUUCAACACGGCGGACGACUAGGGAUCGAAAAUGGCCGUUUUUUUCUAAGGAGUCGACAUGUUUACCCAAAUGAAACGGUAGAAGAAAUUGCGCUGACAGCCGUUCCUGUUUUGGGUCAGCUCGCACAUGUCCAUCUGGAGUCAAAUCCUCUUCGAUUUGGUCGUCAUUAUCAACUUGGUUGUCGCCUUCUUUUAUCCACUUGACACUGACGGACCGGCUAAAUCCAUUAGCAUUUGAAACUGCUUUAGCAUUGCCACUUUGAAGCAAACGACUUUUGUUCCUUCUCUACGAGAUGCACCUAGUAGAGGAAUCUCGUGAUGGUGUAGGAAUCGCAACUCAACCGUCGUCUGCUUCACACCCAUGUUCGACACAAUUCGUCAAAUCAAAUAUGAAUACAGUAAUACAGUAAUACUAAUGAAGAGGAGUAAUUCCAAAUCCCACUUGCUCGGUGUUAGACCACAACCAUUACCAGCCUCCUUUAAAGAAAGGAUUCACCAUUGAACUCUUUACUUUUUUCUAGUCUUUAAUGAUCAUGAAAAUAAUUUCGGGUUGACGUGAAAGGAAUCUUUGAAGCCUGUCACAAGUAACUGUUGGGUGCUAUUGCUAUGCUGCUAACUAUUGUGUUUAACCUGAACAACCCUUUGUGGCUGUAAGGGCACCGAAAGUAAGUUUACCUUAACCGUGUGAGAUAAUUGUGCACGUACGUACCUACAUCACGACUAAUCAGACUGAAAAUGAUUGUCAUUUUCUUCAAAGUGCAGUUGCUUUGUGUAAAGAUGAAUCUUGGCUUGUCUCUUGAGAACACAGCACUUGGUCACAUUAAGCUAUUUAAACAAAGGAACUUGCUACCGGAAUUCUCCACAAAAGGAUUUCUCAGUCAGGUUAAGUGAAGCUGUCUGCAGUUGCCGUCUUCUGUAGAACAUUUUUACUUGCCACCUUGCUAACUGCAUAAAUUGGGAAGCUGCCUUUUUUGCACAUUUACAACAGCCUGUUAGUUGUUUCUGCUUUAUAUCUGAUUCGUUUCACAGGUUUUCCCACUGUUUGUUGAUGUUUGAGGUAUGAUUGAAAUUGCCUUUUUUUGUGUUACGUACAAUGUGCUGAAGCCUGCCUGUUCCCUGGUUUAAGGAGUUACUACUUAAACAAAGUCGAAUUUACGAUGGUGUUCACUUU